Non-coding RNA from Amoeboaphelidium occidentale, 72 nucleotides. The record is from the annotation of a GenBank genome assembly. Lineage: Eukaryota; Fungi; Aphelidiomycota; Aphelidea.
GCUCAUAUGGUAUAAUGGUCAUUACUCAGCAUUGUGGCUGCUGCAAUCCAGGUUCGAUUCCUGGUGUGAGCA